RNAcentral lists this ribosomal RNA (816 nucleotides) under uncultured Actinomycetes bacterium. RNAcentral's name for it is "bacterial SSU rRNA". It matches the Rfam family "Bacterial small subunit ribosomal RNA", at positions 58 to 850 of the family's 1533-position model. The record is from RNAcentral. Lineage: Bacteria; Bacillati; Actinomycetota; Actinomycetes.
CAAGUCGAACGCGAAAGCCCCCUUCGGGGGGCAAGUAGAGUGGCGCACGGGUGAGUAACACGUAGGUAAUCUACCUUUGGAUGGGGAAUAACCACCGGAAACGGUGGCUAAUACCGCAUAAUGCAGCGGCACCUAAUGGUGACAGUUGUUAAAGCGGGGGAUCGCAAGACCUCGCGUCUGAAGAGGAGCCUGCGGCAGAUUAGCUAGUUGGUAAGGUAAAGGCUUACCAAGGCGAUGAUCUGUAGCCGGCCUGAGAGGGCGGUCGGCCACACUGACACUGACAUACGGGUCAGACUCCUACGGGAGGCAGCAGUCGGGAAUUUUGGGCAAUGGGCGAAAGCCUGACCCAGCAACGCCGCGUGAAGGAUGAAAUCCCUCGGGAUGUAAACUUCGCAAGAACGGGAAGAAUAAGUAAGAGCUAACAUCUCUUAUGAUGACGGUACUGUUUGUAAGCUCCGGCUAACUCCGUGCCAGCAGCCGCGGUAAUACGGGGGGAGCAAGCGUUGUUCGGAUUUACUGGGCGUAAAGGGCGCGUAGGCGGCCACCGCAAGUCGACUGUGAAAUCUCCGGGCUUAACUCGGAAAGGUCAGCCGAUACUGCGGGGCUAGAGUGCAGAAGGGGCAACUGGAAUUCUCGGUGUAGCGGUGAAAUGCGUAGAUAUCGAGAGGAACACCUGCGGCGAAGGCGGGUUGCUGGGCUGACACUGACGCUGAGGCGCGAAAGCUAGGGGAGCGAACGGGAUUAGAUACCCCGGUAGUCCUAGCCUUAAACGAUGAAUGCUUGGUGUCUGGGGUUUUAUAGUCCCCGGGUGCCGUC